AACUGCGAAGGCAGCUUUCUGGAUCAUUACUGACACUGAGGAACGAAAGCAUGGGUAGCGAAGAGGAUUAGAUACCCUCGUAGUCCAUGCCGUAAACGAUGUGUGUUAGACGUUGGAAGUUUACUUUCAGUGUCGCAGGGAAACCGAUAAACACACCGCCUGGGGAGUACGACCGCAAGGUUAAAACUCAAAUGAAUUGACGGGGACCCGCACAAGUAGUGGAGCAUGUGGUUUAAUUCGAAGAUACGCGCAGAACCUUACCAACACUUGACAUGUUCGUCGCGACUCUAAGAGAUUAGAGUUUUCGGUUCGGCCGGACGAAACACAGGUGCUGCAUGGCUGUCGUCAGCUCGUGUCGUGAGAUGUUGGGUUAAGUCCCGCAACGAGCGCAACCCUCACUUUUAGUUGCCAUCAUUAAGUUGGGCACUCUGAAAGAACUGCCAGUGAUAAGCUGGAGGAAGGUGGGGAUGACGUCAAGUCCUCAUGGCCCUUACGUGUUGGGCUACACACGUGCUACAAUGGCAUCUACAACAGGAAGCAAAACGGCAACGUUAAGCAAAUCCCGAAAAGAUGCCUCAGUUCGGAUUGCACUCUGCAACUCGAGUGCAUGAAGCUGGAAUUACUAGUAAUCGUGGAUCAGCGUGCCACGGUGAAUGCGUUCCCGGGUCUUGUACACACCGCCCGUCACACCAUGGGAGUUGGUUCUACCAUAAGGCAAGGUUUUAAACCCUUGACCACGGUAUAGUCAGCGACUGGGGUGAAGUCGUAACAAGGUAGCCGUA
Molecule: ribosomal RNA, 782 nt
Filed under: uncultured bacterium
Lineage: Bacteria
Description: bacterial SSU rRNA
Rfam family: Bacterial small subunit ribosomal RNA
Source: RNAcentral